CAGCAGUAGCCGCGGGAAUACGAAGGGGGCUAGCGUUGUUCGGAUUUACUGGGCGUAAAGGGCGCGUAGGCGGGCGAAUAAGUCAGGGGUGAAAUCCCAAGGCUCAACCUUGGAACUGCCUUUGAUACUGUUUGUCUUGAGUUCGAGAGAGGUAAGUGGAACUGCGAGUGUAGAGGUGAAAUUCGUAGAUAUUCGCAAGAACACCAGUGGCGAAGGCGGCUUACUGGCUCGAAACUGACGCUGAGGCGCGAAAGCGUGGGGAGCAAACAGGAUUAGAUACCCGCGUAGUCCCUGUCUCUUAUAC
Molecule: ribosomal RNA, 304 nt
Filed under: uncultured bacterium
Lineage: Bacteria
Description: partial 16S ribosomal RNA
Rfam family: Bacterial small subunit ribosomal RNA
Source: RNAcentral